This 253-nucleotide ribosomal RNA is filed under the name uncultured bacterium. RNAcentral describes it as "partial 16S ribosomal RNA". It matches the Rfam family "Bacterial small subunit ribosomal RNA", at positions 524 to 776 of the family's 1533-position model. The record is from RNAcentral.
UACAGAGGUGGCAAGCGUUGUUCGGAAUUACUGGGCGUAAAGGGCGCGUAGGCGGCCUUGUAAGUCUCGUGUGAAAGCCCUCGGCUUAACUGAGGAUCUGCACGGGAUACUGCGAGGCUAGAGUCCGGAAGAGGAGAAUGGAAUUCCUGGUGUAGCGGUGAAAUGCGCAGAUAUCAGGAAGAACACCCGUGGCGAAGGCGGUUCUCUGGGACGGUACUGACGCUGAGACGCGAAAGCGUGGGGAGCGAACAGG